Molecule: non-coding RNA, 13681 nt
Organism: Rattus norvegicus (Norway rat)
Lineage: Eukaryota; Metazoa; Chordata; Mammalia; Rodentia; Muridae
Source: RefSeq, a predicted model, not a curated record
AAGGGCUAUUUUUGGAGGUCAGCCUUUGGUGCUAGGGCUCCCAUCACCUGAUGGCCUCUUGGCCUCCUUCUCCGGUGGGAAGAGCCAUCGGAAAUGGCUGACUUCUGGUUCUGCCUCCGUUGGCAGGCGGGGGGUAGGGACAGGGCCUCCAGGGCCCAGCAGCCAGCAAAGGAGAUUACAAGGCAGUCUUUAGGUUACCCAGCACCUUCUUGAGUGAGUCCCAUGACAGUGAGGCACUAUGGGUCACCAUGGCCACUAGCCCAGUGUCUCUUGAAGUUUCCAGUGAUACUGGGUGCUCAGGGGCAUAGUGUAGCUAUUUCAGAGCUCCACAAAAGAUAGCAGAGGAUAGUCCUGUGUGCAUGUGCAUGUGCAUGCCUAUACCCACACACAUCCACAUGGGUAAGAUUUGUGUGUGCUCAUGUGUGCACACGAAUGCACACAUGCACCCACGCCCAUAUACAUCCACAUGGGGUCUAGAGGCCAAUGCUCAGUGUCUUCCUUUAUUGCCUCCCACCCUAUCUGGGGACAAGGUCACUCACUGAAGCAGGAACUUCACAAUUGGUUAGGCUGGUUGGCCAACAGACCUCAAAGAUCCUUCUUUCUGUCUCUCAGCCCUGGGACUCUGUGUGCCAAACCAGCCCUGUGGAUCAGAGCUCAGGUCUUAUGGUUACUCAGCAAGCGCCACUGACCAAGCCAUUUCCACAGCCCUCACAUUCAUUUUUGUUGUAAUUUCAAAUGAAAUAUAGUCUCCAUUCCCUGGUCUUCAGGCCUUCAUGCAUUCUAUCCCCAACACCAGGUCUCAGAAGUCAGAUGGUAAGGUAAGGGGGAAAGCCACAGGGCUGAGGAGGAGGGGGAUUUUCCACUUCCCCUCCUGGCUCCGUAUUUAGAAUUUCCACUUUUCACUUGCAAAGGUUUUCCUUUCUCUGCGGCCUCAGCGUUUGCCUCACACUCAGCCUCCUGCACACUCAGGCCUGACAGUGGGUCUCUCUUGACAUUUUUUUUUUUCAGAUGUGAACAGGCUGCUUGUCCACAUUUUACAGUUCUGUCUCUGGGAUGCUUGUGCUGAAGGCCUCCACGGUCUGCAAAGCCCAGGAUUCUGUAGAGGUGGCAGAGACCCAGACAGUUUCCUCAACCUCAGAGGGGGCUCUGACUGCUUCCCAUAUGACACUGUCACACAGAUGGCCUGUGAGAUGGAGGAGACUCCUCUCUCUCUCUCUCUCUCUCUCUCUCUCUCUCUCUCUCUCUCUCUCUCUCGACACGAGCAUGCACGAGCGCACACACAAACAUACACACACUCACAUUGUCCAGGGCUCUCAGAACUACCACGAUGCCUCUGAUGGCAGCACUAAAGUCAACUACACAUGGGGUCUGAGUUUUCUUUCUUUCUUUUGUGGUUGCCUGACUUUGAUUCUGUAAGCAUAUAUAGAGCACCUACUGUAUACACGCUUGGUGUGAGCAAGUCAGAAUAGAAGGAGAGUCCUGUGCAUAGUGUUUGUGCUCAGGAGUGGAAGCCUAGUGCAAAGCCAUGUACUCUGGGGACAAAAGCACAGGGUGGAGACAGGAAGUCAGAUGAAGCUGGGUGCAAUUCUGUGAAGAUGGUUGGCAAUGCCCAGCUGGCAAAGACCUGGAUAACAGCCAUACUUGGUCCCUGGGGAGCCCCUCCUUGGGUCAUCCAGCUGAGGUUGGACAGGUGUCCUGCUUCCAUUUGUCUUAGUCAAGAGUUCUCUGGAGGAAUGAACAUCAUGAAAAUAGGUCACAAAGGGGCUUUGUUAGAUUGGCUCACUCCACAUAGGCAAGAGUGUUCAACAGUGACUUCUAUAUGCAGAGGGGCUAAGGACCUGACAGAACCCAUGCCACAAGGUCAAAAUCAGUCUGAGAACCUACAGGGUUCCCGGAAGCUGCUGGCCCUUAGUCCACACUGGAAGGCGGGAAAAGUUUAGGUCCUGAUGGCAGUGAAGGAUGGUGGCGGUAGGGCAGUGGCAGCAACAGUGGUGAUGUCCUUACCAGCAAGGGGAAAGGCAGGCAGAUUAUAGGCCUAUUUCCCCCCAGGACUUCUUUAGAUCUGGUCUGUUGCUAGAAGGCGGCACCCACUCUGGUAGGAGGGGCUUCCCAGUUUGCCCUCCAGGAAACGCCCUUACAGUCCUGUUAGUUGAUCCCAGAGCAAUCAUGUUAUCCACUUUGCUGUCUCUCUACAGAUCUGGAGCCUUAACAGAUCAGAAGACAUUUUACCUGAGACAGACUGAAAACCUAUUCAUUAUCUGGCUUUUAAUAGGGAAUGUUUGCAACUGUACUUUAAGCCAUUGUGACCUGGUGGAGGGUGUGCUCGUUACUGCAGUGCGACCUGUGUGUAUUGACUGAUACAUUCCAAAAACCGUGUCCUAACUCUAUGACAUAUAUGGCCACAUCUGAAGCGAUGCUCCGUCAGUGUGAUGUGGAAUGCUCCAACACCUUGAGCCCACUGCCCGACUCUGUACUUCCACUGGAGCCAUGUUAGCAUCUCAAGACAGGCAGGACCAGGGAGGUAAAGAACAGUCUGCAAGUCACUUGGGGUGUGCCCAUGCUUCUGAGCCACAAGAAAACGUGUCACGAUAUUCCUAAGUUUUCUCGGUAUUGCUGAAGCCAAUGUGCUCAGCCGGUCUGGGCACUCACAGGCUUUUCUGCCCCCAACACCUUCUGUUUGAGAAAAAGGUGAACAGAGGCUGCUUCAGCCCAGGGCUGAAGGGAGAAGUGGGAUCCUGGCUUCCCCAACAAGCCGUCUCUGCUCCCUGCUUCCCUUGUUUGUGUUCAGUAGCUCUCAACCCUAGGGUUCACGCUGUCUACGAUGAUAGCAGCCUGGCGGCAUGUGGCCACCAUCCUGCCCACGGGGGGCACUGGUUUUCUCACCUUUCUCUGUGUGUGUCCAGCUCUGCGUAGGUGCUGCAGAGCAGGCCUGGCAAUGCCCUCCUCUGACUACCACCGUGCAAAGGAGGAACCAGGAGCUCUGUCUCGGGGAGGGGCUUUGUCCGCUUGAAGCUCAGUUCAGCUGUGGAGCCAGCCUUCUCCAACCACAGUCUUUGUUGGGCUUUUGUUGUUGUAGGGUAGCCCAGGUUGGCCUUAAACUCCUGAUUCUCCUGCCUCCACCUCUCUAGCUGUGGGAUAACAGGCAUGCGCCAGCAUCCUGAGUUUACAUGGUGUUGGGAAUCAAACCCAGGGCUUCAUAAACACUAAGGAAAACACUCGAAUGACUCAGCUACAUCCCAACCCUUGUUACUUUUUGAGUUAAGCACUUAGGCUUGCUCAACAUACUCGGAAGAGUGGAGCCUCCUUUACAACCCAAGAGGCACUGGCGAAAUACUUGCUAUGAGGAAAUCUUUCCAUUGAGAAAAUUCCUGUGUGGGCCUCUGCUCAGUGUGGUGGCCAUGCUUGAGAAGGGCAUAGGGCUUUGGAGACCAUGGUUCCUGCUGCCUUUAUCACACCUGCUGCCUGGCAAGGGACAGGAGCCUCCCUGUCCCUAGCGCUGGGUCAUUAUUGACUUUGCUACCACCCAGAAGUGGAAUGAGUUCUGGGUCCCUGAGGGGUCCUGGUGAGCUGUUUCACCAGGUGGACAUUCACCUUGUCUGAGGACUGAUUCUCAUUCUCAAUUUUCCAGACACUGAGGGGAGGGGACAAGGUGAGGACUCACCUGGCAUGUCCCCUGCUCUCUCACUGUGAAGCCCUCCAGUCAGGACCUGCAGGGCUACUCUUCAAACAAGCUGGACAUGCAUGGCCCUGCACAAGCAUUCCACAGGAGAGGAGGGCCUCACUCUGCAGAGAGGGGAGGCCUCUGUCUUUCCCCUUCCAACAGUGAACUGUGGAAUUCUGGGCCCCCUUGGCUAUGCUAUUGUCUGGAGCCCAGAUCCAGAGGCUCAGGAGCUGGAGGGACAGUACACAGACCUCAGAAGUAGCCUUGGGACCUGGAGACACAGCUCAGUUGACAACAUUUUUGCUGAGCAUGUACGAAGCCCUAAGUUCCAUCUCAGCAAUGCAAAAAUCAGGCAGUGGUGGUGUGCACUUGCAAUCUGUAAUCCCAACAUUGAAGGGGUGGAGGCAGGAGGCAGGAGGAUCAGAAAUUAAAGGUUAUCCUCAGCUACACUGUGAGUUUGAAGUAAGCCUCAGCUACUGGAGAUCUUGUUUUGUUUGGUUUGCUGAUUAAUUACCUAAUUUAAAAAGCAUCAGGUCAAGCUAUGCCUGCAGCAAGCAUUUUUCCUGAGGUCUACGUAAACCCGAACUCCAGUAAUCCAAGAUGGAAUCGGUCAGGCCCCUGCCUCAUGCUCCAACUGGCAGCUAGGGCGGGUCCCAGCCUCAGAGGGAACUCAAAGAGUACUAGGGAACUGAAAACACAUGACUCCAAUCAGGAGGAAAAAUGACUUCAUGGCCACAGCCCCUGAAGCAGAAGGCUCUGCAGCCCGGCCCUGUCCGGGCAGACUUUCAAAAGAUUGGCUUCAGGUUCCAGGCCCUUUCGCAGGCUGUGCUGAAGAGCCCCAGACAAUGUCUUGGGGACGGUGGGUUUGCCUUGACUUGGGGUAGGAGCUCCUGAAGCCACUCACGUUUGCAGACACUAUACAGGAGACACUGAGGGGAGGGGACAAGGUGAGGACUCACCUGGCAUGUCCCCUGCUCUCUCACUGUGAAGCCCUCCAGUCAGGACCUGCAGGGCUACUCUUCAAACAAGCUGGACAUGCAUGGCCCUGCACAAGCAUUCCACAGGAGAGGAGGGCCUCACUCUGCAGAGAGGGGAGGCCUCUGUCUUUCCCCUUCCAACAGUGAACUGUGGAAUUCUGGGCCCCCUUGGCUAUGCUAUUGUCUGGAGCCCAGAUCCAGAGGCUCAGGGGCUAGAGGCCAGUGCAAAUCGUGUGCCUGUCCUUCCCGGGAGGACUCCCAAACUUGGGGGAAACAUCAGGGACAGAAUCUAUACUCCACGUAGGGUGGGGGAGGAAAGCUCUCUUGCAAGAUGGGUUGAUGUAGAUGAGGCUGGAGAGGAUUUUGAAUGCAGCCUGAGGAAGUCUUUUGAGGCCCUAGGAAGCCACGGAAAGUUGGGGAGAAGAAGCAGUACCCUGGAACAUUGUAGAAUUGACUCCCUCUGGCAGAGCACCAGGGCUGAGCCUCUGUGGAACUUCUGCAUGGGAGCCAGGCAGACUGUUCCCUGUGACCCUGGGCUCUCUCACUUGAGAGGUUUCUAAGCAAUUAACCCCCUCAAACGGUGAGGAAACAGCUGGGCCUGGUUGGCACCUUGAAUCCCAGCAUUUGGGAAGCAAAGGCAGGUAGAUCUCUGAGUUCCAGGGCAGCCAGGAGAUCUUACUUGGAAAAAAAAAAGAACAAAAGGAAACUGAGGUUCAGAGUCACCUGAAUGGGGUCCUACAAUUUGGGGGCCCCAGGCAUCGGAAUGGCCCGGCUCUGCCUUGAGUUUGAGGCUAAAGCACACUGAACAAGGCAGAACGGGACUGGAGGCCUUAGUGAUAAACUCAGGUUGAUCUCCAAGCCCAUGCCAACUACAGCCAAUAGACUAGAUCAUCUCCUACAGAGCUCCAUCCAUCAGCUGUCACAGGGACAGUGUCAUCAUGUCGCAUGGCCUCUGGAAGACUCCACUGGAGGCUUUGGAAUGGACAGAAGAGACAGAGUGACAGGAAUCUCCUUAUGCACGCAAUUGCCUGUGGUUUGAACGUGUGCUCAGAGGCCAUGUGCCGGUAACCUGUUUCCCAGUGCAGCUGUGAUUUGGGGUGGGGCCCUAGGAUGGGCUUAAAUCGUCUCAGAGGAUCGAUCCAUUCACAAGAUGGUGGAGUGCUGGAACUAGCAGCUCAGCUGAGAACAUGAGCUCUCCCCUGCAGGACCAUUAUCUCAGAAGGAUCCCAUCUCAGCAUCUAUGACUCUUACCGAGUCUGACACAGCAUGAAACCCUUAACCAGAUGUGAACAGAUGUCUGCACCACACUUGUGAACUUCCAGCUUCCAGACACAAUGGGCCAAGCCAGCCUCUUUCCUGAAUGAAUUGUGCAGCCUCGCUGAGUCUGAUGGGACAUAAACAUAGCUGUCAUCCCAGCACUGGGGAAGUAGAGGCAGGAGGAUCAGGAAUUCGAAGUUCAUCCUUGGCUAUAUAUUAGAUUGGAGGGCAGCCUGAGCUAUAUGAGAACCUGUUUCAAAAAGCAACAACAAACAAACAAACAAACAGCUAACCAAGCGAGCCUCUCAUCACCACAGAUGAAUUCAGAGCUGAACGGACUGUUGAGAGGAUGACGUGGUUGAAGGAAAUAGAUCCUUAGAGGCAGCCCUGGAAAAUUCUUCCCUCUCUGCUUCCUGGCCAUUAGAAGUGUCCCACUAUGACACUGUACCAUGCCACAGGCUGCUGUGCUGCAACCAUGCAACCACAGUUGAAGCCUCUGGAUAAAUGAAUUUCUUUACCUGCUCCGCCCCCGGGAUGUAAAGCUGGAACCAAGGGUAUGCUUGCAACAUCUCUACGUCUCUGUCUCUGUCCAUCUAUCUGACUCUCUACCCAUUUUUCUCUGUGACAUCUCUAUUGCUGUCUCUCUCAAUCUUUAUGUCUCUACGAAUUGUUCUCUGUGUUUCUCUCCCUGUCUGUCUGCCUACCCACACUCUCAGCCUUAGUCUCUCUCCAUCUCCUUUCUUUACUUCCCACAGCCCAUGGAAGGAGAGUAUAACUGCUGUGUGUCUCACACAGUGGGGUGGCAUGCCUCUCACCAGACUGCUGGGAAAGUAAAUGACUUGCAUGUGUGGAGACAGCUUCUUCAAGGCAAGCUGAAUGCCCGAGCAUUUGCCACACACACCUUUUUGGUGGCCUCAAAUUACAUCUCAAUAGGUUGCUAAGGACCCCUCGCCCAUCUCCCUCUCUUCUGAUAAUGUGAUAAUGGGGGUUUGAGGUGGCUCUAGGGAUGGCUUGGAUGGGUUAAACCUAAGAAAGUGAAUCCAGGAGCCACUAGGGCUGUGCAGGGGCUUAUGAUACGCCCCUUCUUGUCAGUGGGGUUUCUGGGAGAUUCCUAGAGAAUGCAGGUUCACAGAGGGAAAGUUGAUUAUCCUCAGACUUCUUGCUGUUUGAGAGGCUACCCUCAAACUCCCUUUCCCCUUUCGUGACCCCAUAAUUUCCACACCUACCUGUCCUGCCUCAGUACCCCAGUGCCUCCUAGAUUCUCUUUCACUGCUACUCAGUACUCUGCCGGUUCUGCACUCCGUCCAUGGUUCCAUUUCCUUCACUGCAGUAUCGGCUCCCUCAGGUCUGGCUUUGUCCCUUUCUGUCUGUCCACCCCCCACCCCUGCUCUGUGAUUCCCAGUGUAGCAACCUGCUCUGUGCAGAAAGGGAAGGAGGGAAUGGCAGCCUGGAGGGGUAGAAAGCCAGACAAGAUCUUUGUGCCUUUGCCCUGAGUGAGUCCCUGCCACUCAGUGACAUGAGAGUCACGUUCCUGGCCCAGCAGGUACCUUCCUCAUUAAGGUCAGAGCUGGUUUGGCCUCCAGAAAGCCUUUAGAACUCCUCUCUGAUAUGCCACAGCCUUCAGCCUUUGCUAAUUCCCAGUGGCCUUGUCCUUGGUCUGCAAGCUUCCUAUGGGUUAUUAUAAGGAGAGAGAGAAUGUGGAGAUGUUUAAAGACUUCUGAGUGCCCUGGGGACAGAAUAUAGGUUGUAAAGGCCAGGAGGCUUCCUCUCUACCUGGAGGAUCAAAUCUGUUUGUGGGUUUCCAAGCUGUAUCUUAGUGAAGAAAACCUCCCAGGAUGCAAUAUGAUCCCUAGUAGACCCUCACUGACUGUUGCCUAUCCCAUCUGGCACCUCCAGCAGGGUCUGUGGAACAACCUCCAACCUGGUCUGCAGCUAGAAUUCCUCAUGAGUGACCCUGAGAGGGAUGGCACAGAGCACCUCCUAAAGGAGAAGCGACCUCCACAGGCACCAUCCAAAUGCUUUGGGAUGUCUGGUGCCCACAUGACCUGCUGGGCCCCAGACAAAGCCACACUUGAGACAGUCUCUGGUCUCUCGUGAUACCUACCUACACCCAUACUCAAUUCAAGGCUGCAUCCUCUGGGGUAGCGAGUGGCCUCUGGUUCCUGCUCCCUGUCCUUGCUCUGAGAACUGCCAUGAUGGAUGUACUGUGGCCUGGGGUACAAGCCUAGAAUAGGGUACAUGAAGAAAGUGGCCCAUCAGAGACCUAAAUCUGUGUACUGCCUCUAGGCCCUGCCUGCAGACCAUGCCCAGGGCCUCUGCCUCCUGCAGUUGGCUUUGUCUGUCUUUGUAUUUUUUACUCACAGUUUGAGUCUUUUUUCCCCAGGCCUCAGGUUUCACCUGUUGCUGGGAUGAUCCGUUGAAUGUAUGUACUAGUGGCCUCCAAGAAGCUAGAGGUAGGCUUUCCUACCCUACUCUAGCAAGGUUGGGAAUUCUAGUCAGAUCCUCUGUUCUCCCAGGGCUGGGCUCUGAAGGUUCAAGAUGGUGAAAAGAACCCAAAGGACCCUGCAGAACACUGGUCAGGGCUGGGGUAGGCACUGCCUCAGAGGAGAUAAGGAGGCAAGGGUUCCCCAGGUCCCAACCCCUCCCUAUUCUGAGGUAGCCUCCUUUAAUGGAAGCACCUAACUUUAAUUUUGGAAAUGUAGAUAAAGAAGCUGGGGCCAUGUGAGUACUCAGGAAUGGAGCCAGGCUUUGGCUUCCAUUAACCUGUAGUGUGACAGAGAGUAGUCCCUUCACCUCUCUGAGCAGCCUAGGCCAUUGUCAAGUAGCUGUUGUUUCAGCUCUAGCCCUGGCUCUCCAUGCAGCUCCGACACAGUCCCUUCUCCUUCCUGAGGAUUUCUUGCUUUCAUCUGUCCACAAGCCAUCGGAUCACCUCCACCCAGGAGUACCAUCCCCACCAUCAUUCAACAGCACCCCUUUCUCUACCCAGUCUGAAGCCCCAGCUCCCUGUCCCUCCUCAUGGCUCCUGAGAAGGCUGUCCUCACGGGGCACACUGGACCUGCCUUGCUCUCAGACGAGCCCACGCUAGGAGGUCCCACCCGGGCCCCAGGAGUCACCCCCUUUCAUGACUCCCUGCACCUCCCCCCCAAUUCUGCUGUCCCUUUCAGCCCAUGAGCCCCUCCUUCAGGCCUCAGGGAUCCAGAAGAUUCUGGGAGCAACUGGGUUUGAAACACUAGGCUCCUGGGGUUCCCAGGCUCAUGAGGCUUGGGGGUUCCUUGGUUCCUUCUCUUCUUGUUCCACCAUUCUCCCUGAGUGACUUCAUCGGUUCCCAUGGAUUGAAUGGAUGACUUGGUGAACUCCAAAUUUGUCUCCAGCCUUGAUCUCCCCUCUGACCUCUAAACCCGAAUAUCCGGUUGUCCCCUCAGAUCAUGACUGAUCUGGGCUUCAGGAACUUUCUCCCCAGGCCUUUCCCAGCCCCCUCAUCUCAGGAGAUCCACUCCACAUAGCUACACAUACCAGUCUGCCCAUCUCCACCCUCCUGGCUCUUGUCCAUGCUCAGGAACCCAUUUACUGAGGACCCAACCCCUUGGAAGCCUAAGGCAGGGCCUGCUAGUGUUGCAUGGAGAGCAGAAAAUGUGCUCUCUGCUAAGCUUCCCCACUGUAGAGACCCCCAAGAGCCAGAUCCCCCAGGGAGGUGUGGGGAAACCACGUCCUCCUAGCCAAGAAUGGAGCUCAGUCCUGGAGAAGCAGGGUUUCUGUUCUCUUGGGGGUUGCUGAGCAGUGGCAGGGACCUCUCUGGGGACCACCAUGAAAUGAGGUCAUAUAGUCAUAAAAGAAAAGCUCUGGAUAGAUGUAUUCCAGUCCCAGUCACUGGGGUGGGGACUGCUGGCCCCACCACUCCUGGUAGUGCAGGCUUUUCAUGAGUGCUCCCAGACUCCAGCAGAGCCUGUUCCUCAUGCAAACCCAACCUCUGGAGUCUGCAGGGGUGGUCCGUGCAGGGGGGAAUUUGAAGUUACAGUGCUGGGGAGAGUAAGGGGAGCCGAGCAGGUUGCUGAUGCUGGGACAUCAGCUUGGGAGGAUGUGACAGCUUGCAUAUGCUGGACCCAGGGAGUGAUACUAAUAAGAGGUGUGGCCUUCUUGGAGUAGGUGUGUCACUCUGGGCAUAGGCUUUAAGAACCUCAUCCUAGCCCAGAAGCCAGUCUUCUCCUAGCUGCCUUCGGAAUAAGAGGUGGAACUCUCAGCUCCUCCAGCUCCAUGUUUACCUGGGCACUGCCAUGCUCCCACCUUGAUGAUACUGGACUGAACCUCUGAACCCGUAAGCCAGCCCCAGUUAAAUGUUGUCCUUUAUAAGAGUUGCCUUGGUCAUGGUGUCUGUUCACAGCAGUAUAACCCUCACUAGGACAGUGGCUAUCCUUUUUGUGGCAUAUUUAGUGAGCAGCUCCUGCAUGUUGAAGAGUCACACUUCACACAAGGCUCUCCUUCAUAAAGGCCUCAUCACCUCCUAUCACUGCUAGGCUGAGCAUGGAGCUUCUAAUGCAUGGAUACACAAGGCACAUUUGAAUUGUAGCUACUCCACAUGUCUCUCUCUCUCUCUCUCUCUCUCUCUCUCUCUCUCUCUCUCUCUCUCUGUGUGUGUGUGUGUGUGUGUGUGUGUGUGUGUGUGUGUGUGUGUGUGUGUGUGUGUACUGCGCACUCUGGGACAAGUGGAGAGUACAAGGUGGGGAGGAAGCAUAUCCAAGUUUUAAGGCAAACGAAGCCACAUGAGGCCUUCCCUGGUCUCCCAGCAUCCUGUACACAUGUCUCCAGUCAACCUCUUUUUUUUUCAGUAGUGUGGUUCUGGUGAGUCUGCCCUCUGUAGUAACUGUGGCCAAGAGCUAUGUGACAUUUUCUAGAAAACUGCCAAGUAAUUGUGAAGGGUUAGACAGUGUAGAGUCUGGGAGGGGCAAGGACCCCAAUACUGGCUGUUAGUGGAUUCAUGCUUAGAAGUCCUGGUGGGAAGCCCUAGAGCCUCAGUUAGUUGGAUGAGCAAGGACAAACCCGAUUGCCAUGGGGCCAAGACUGAGGCCUGUCCCUGGGACAGCCUGGAUGCUAGGUGUGGCAGGUAGGGUCAGGGGUUAUGUUUGAAUGCGGGGGAGCCCAGGACAGAGCUCUUAGCCACACUUUGUCAAACUGGCGUGGGCGGGCGGUCCUUUGGAUGGUCCUGGGAUAGAAUAACAAGGCCCUGGUCACUUGUCAGAUCAUCACACAGCGGCAGUAGGCACAGGGAGGUACUUGGGAAGGUUCCCAAGGCUGAAUGAAGUCCAGGUAGGAGAAAGGAAUGCCCGCUCCAAAGACAUGAGUCGGCUGGGGCAGCUCAUGGUCACAGCUCUCUGCUCCCUGCCCGGUAGCUAGUUCUGCACUGGAGUAGCUUAGGCUCUGCAUGCAAGGCAGGGCACCUCCUCAUUUUCCGAGCGUCCCCAUUCCAUGGGCAACUCCAGCCACCCUCAGCUGUCCGCUGGUUGUCUGUAUGACUCAAGUUUGCUACAUUCUGAGCUCCUGGGGAAGGGAUCCCACAAGAUCUACUUGGGAGCCCCAUGCAUAGAGCUACAGUGUGCUGGCUGGAAGGUGAACCAGUGUAAUUGAGUUGGAGGGAGGGAGUGACCGCAGCACCGGUCUCCCCUUAGCUGCUCCCCUCUUCAACCACAAGCCGGCUCAAGAAAUCCCUUGCUUUCCUUUUAUUUAAUUCACACAUAUGUAUGUAUGCAUGUGCAUAUUGAUGUGUGUACAAGUGUGUAAGUAUGUACAACUGUGCAUUUGUGUAGACUCUCUACCUUAUAUUUUGAGACAGGGUCUCCCUCUGAACCUGGAGUUCCCGUUUAGCUGGAGUGUCUGGCCAGAGAGUCCCUAGGGACCUGCCUCUCUGCUCCGGUGCCAUCAUCACAAGAGUCCCCCGCCACCCUAGCUUUUCCAUGGGCUCCAGGGAUUUACAUUCUGGUUGUUAUGCUUGAGUGGCCAGUGCUUCACUCACUGGAUUAUCUCUGCAGCCCAGUGUUUUGCUUUGUUUUUUAACUACUGCAUAAUGAUGCCCCUGGGGUCUGGGCUGCCCAAUCCUGCAGGUGCCCAAGUAGAAUGCUGAACUUGCAAGGCUCCUUCUGAGCAUGAGAGCCACCUCCAGAAGAUACAUCGCCAGCCAACCAUUGUCACAGAGACAGUUGCCCAUCCUGGGAGAAAGUCACACAUGUUUAGUGCAGAUGCAACCUCUUUGUGAAAUGUGGCCCCACAGCUGGAUCUGUAGCUAUGGGAUCUGUGGAUGUGGAGCCUGGCCACCCCAUAAAGUAAAGGCAGCAGGGCCAUGGUUCAGCUAGCUGAGUCUUUUGUCUCCAAAAGCUGCAGUCCAGGUGUGGAUGGAGCAAGCCUUGUCUUCAGUUUGGACUCUUCUCCCAACCCUUGGGAAUGAGGGUCUCUUCAACCUCAGUGCUAACUCUGACCCCCAUCUCUAAGGUUCAUGGCUGCACCAGCCUUGCCACAGGCUCACCAGCUACAGUCAGGCCCACAUGCUCUGCAUCUCUGGAGCUCACCCACUGAAUUAUAGAGGGCCUCUGUCUCAUAGCCCCAUCCAUACACCUGGAAGAGCCUACACAGGAGAGAGUCUCUGUGGCGGGGGUCCUGGGAAACACCUUAGACUGCUACAAAUCUUGUGUUCCUGGGCCGGGAUUCUAGUCUGCCCCAUGAGUAAAGAAGAUUGUGGGGUGACUGAGCAGGAAUGGAGGAGGGAACAGUUUCAACUGAGAACCAGAACCCAUGUCUGACUCCACACUGAAGUGCCAUUGUAGCAACUUAUGCUUUCAAGGCCCAUCUGUGUGAGGGAUGGCGGUAGAGGCUGGGUGUGUUGUUAACUUCACAAAAUUCAGAAUUAUCUGGGAGAUGCCAUUGAGGGAUCAUCUUGAUUAUGCUAAUGGAGGUGGGAAGAUCUGCCCAUGGUGGGCAGCACCAUUCCCUAGGCAUCUAUCCUUGGCUUAUAAUGGACUGAACUCUUUAAGUAUGUCACCACUGAAUGUACAUUUGUCUCUGCAAUCAAGUUUCCCAUCUUCCCAAGGAAGCUGUCCAUCUUUAACUGAUUUACAUCUGUGAAGGUUGCUCUGGGCUUAGUUGGUAGAGUUCUUGCCUAGCAUUCAAGGAUCCAUGGGUUCUAUCCCCAGCACACUAAAAAAAAAAAAAAAAAAAAAAAAAAAAGUCUUUCUUCUCAUAAAUCAGAACUUGAGGGUUUGAUUUAAUUCCCAGUCAUCACAGCUGGCCAUGGAUCUGUCCACCCUCACCGGUUCUGGCUGGCCUGGCUGGUCUGCUGAAAGUGAGUGACAGGCCAUGAUUCACUGGGGCUAAGCCCAGGGAUACCUGGGUAAGCUGGUAUUUUCACUGCCUGGGACUCUGCAGUCCCAUGGCAGAACCCAGGGCUAUGUGUUGGUUCUAGGAGGUCCUGACCCCUGGCCUGUGGCCUCAGUGUUAUCACUUGCUUUUCUUCUCUUCCCUGGAUAACAACUUCACCAUCGACCCUGUACUGGGUUUAUUUUUCUGGAAAAGGGUCAAAUUCCAGUGUUUGUGGGCCUGUGUGCACCCAGGGCAGCUGACCCAGCUACUUCCCAGCGUUUGAACUAGAGGAGGACCUGGCCAGACCAUAUCCAGCCUGACAGGACAUUUCCCAUCCCAGGAAGCAGAUCCCUGCCAGCAGAAGUUCACAGUCUCUUUCCUUUGCAACCCCAAAAGAAAGUCCCUCCCCACAUCCCCACAUGUGGCUUCUCCCUAGUAACAACAC